CUCUGAGACUAAGCCAUGCAUGUCUAAGUAUAAACAAAUUUGUACUGUAAAACUGCGGACGGCUCAUUAAAUCAGUUACAAUCUACUUGAUCGUAUAUUCAAAGAAUUAAUCGGGUAACCCUAGUAAUUCUAGAGCUAAUACGUGCAAAAAGCUCCGACCUCUUUUAACCGAGGGGAAAGAGUGUAUUUAUUAGGUAACUUAAAACCAAUCAGCCCAAAAGGCUGUUUUGUUGAUGAUUCAUAAUAACUUUGCAAAUCGCGGGCCAAUGUCUGCGAUGAUACAAACGAGUUUCUGACCUAUCAACUUUAGAUGGCAGGAUAGGGGCUUGCCAUGGUGACAACGGGUGACGGGGAAUUAGGGUUCGAUUCCGGAGAGGGAGCCUGAGAAACGGCUACCACUUCCAAGGAAGGCAGCAGG
RNAcentral lists this ribosomal RNA (418 nucleotides) under uncultured eukaryote. RNAcentral describes it as "bacterial SSU rRNA". It matches the Rfam family "Eukaryotic small subunit ribosomal RNA", at positions 36 to 432 of the family's 1831-position model. The record is from RNAcentral.